AUAUUGGAGUGAUGAGUGGAGCGGCUAUCUACAUCAAAGAUGAUCUGCAAAUCUCAGAUUUUCAAGUAGAAGUUCUGGUGGGAACACUUAACAUAUACUCAUUAGUUGGUUCAGCCGCAGCUGGCCGGACCUCCGACUGGAUAGGGCGGCGGUAUACUAUAGUGGUGGCUGGAGCUAUUUUCUUUGUGGGAGCUCUUCUAAUGGGAUUUGCCACAACUUAUGCGUUUCUGAUGGUAGGGCGGUUUGUUGCCGGGAUUGGUGUCGGCUAUGCUCUUAUGAUUGCACCGGUUUAUACUGCUGAAGUGUCUCCGGCUUCCUCUCGUGGAUUUCUCACUUCAUUUCCUGAAGUACGUAUACAUUAAUAUAUUAUAUAAUAUAGUCCUUGUCAUUUUAUAUAUUAUCUUUAUUUAUCACUUUGAAAAACUAUAAAUUUUUUAGUUCUGAAAAUAGAUUUAUAUUUUAUGUUGGGACAAGUUUACUUGAAUACUAUGAGAUGUUAAAAAAAGAAAAAAAAAAUCUUUUAUUUAAAAAUUUCAUCUUUAAAACAAAUAAACCAAAAGUGUUAUAUUUAAAAUGCAUAUAAAUAAUUUAAUACAUUACACCAAAAAUAGCUUAUAAUAAUAUUAUAAUACUUAAUAAAUAAAAACAUUUGCAUUCAUUAUUCAUUAACGGCGUUUUUUAAUUGACAGGUAUUCAUUAACGGCGGGAUCUUGCUCGGCUACGUAUCAAACUUUGCAUUCUCAAAGCUUCCAACUCAUUUGAGUUGGCGGUUCAUGCUUGGAAUCGGUGCAGUUCCUUCAGUUUUCCUUGCUCUAAUUGUCCUUGUCAUGCCCGAGUCACCUCGUUGGCUCAUUCUGCAAGGCCGACUCGGUGAAGCCAAGCGAGUCCUGGACAGGACCUCCGACUCCAAAGAAGAAUCUGAAGCAAGACUCGCCGAUAUAAAAGAAGCCGCAGGUAUUCCUCAAGAUUGCAACGACGACAUCGUUCAAGUGCAAAAACAAUCCCAUGGUGAAGGUGUAUGGCGGGAAUUACUCCUCCAUCCUACACCGUCCGUUCGCCAUAUCUUAGUUUGUGCGAUCGGGAUUCACUUCUUCCAACAAGCUUCGGGUAUAGACGCUGUCGUAUUAUACAGCCCCAGAAUAUUUGAAAAGGCCGGGAUCACAUCAGAUGAUAAUAAGUUACUUGCAACUGUAGCCGUUGGAUUUGUUAAGACAAUGUUCAUUUUAGUGGCUACGUUUUUGCUAGACAGGAUCGGACGGCGACCGUUGCUCCUAACAAGUGUUGCUGGAAUGAUAUUUUCGUUAGCGACCCUUGGAUUUUCGUUGACCAUUAUAGAUCAUUCGCACGAUAAGCUAACAUGGGCUAUAGUAUUGUGUUUAACAAUGGUAUUAGCCUACGUGGCAUUUUUCUCAAUAGGGAUGGGCCCCAUCACAUGGGUGUAUAGUUCUGAGAUCUUUCCGUUGAGGCUACGCGCUCAAGGCACGAGUAUGGGAGUGGCUGUGAACAGAUUAACAAGUGGGGUCAUAUCGACGACUUUUAUUUCACUGUACAAAGGAAUAACAAUGGGAGGGGCGUUUUUUCUGUUCGCGGCUAUAGCAACGGUAGCGUGGACCUUCUUUUUUACAUGUUUGCCCGAGACACGAGGAAGGACAUUGGAGGAUAUGGAGGUCCUUUUUGGUAGUUUCAUUAAUUGGAGGUCUGCUUUGAAGGAGGAUAGCUUGAAGAAGAAAGCAGCUAGUAGUGAAAAUAAUGGUCAGAUUCAGUUGGGUACUGCUACUAACACUACUGUUACUAAAGCUUAGUUGAAGGAUAUUUUGGUAAAUCUACCUACUUGAUGAAAUGUUAGAUUAGUGUUUUUUUUUUUUUUUUUUUUUUUUUUUUUUUUUUUUUUUUUUUUAUGCUUGUUCUUACCUUAGUUGGGUGAGAUUCAGCCAAGUAAUGUUUGAAAUAUGAAAAUAUGGAAAGCUUGUAUGCAAGAAAAAGAAAUCCAACAAAAAAUCAAUUAAGAAGAAAGAGAUAUUAUUCUGUAUAUUUUUAAAAUCAAAUCAAAUCAAAUAAUAUAUCGAAUCAAUUCAGUUCAUUUGAGCUAAUUUGGUUGAUUUUUUAGUCGUUGUACAACUAUUUUAAGUAUAUAUUUUAGGUUUAUAAAUCAAAUUGAAUCGAAAAUUUUUAAUUUUUUAAUGAAAACUUAAAUCGAAUCAUAAAUAUUACUCCCUCAAUUCCACAUAUCAUUUUACCUUGUUCUACUUUUGUAAUAAUAUUAAAUGGGAAAAUUUUAAUUUUAAGAAGUGCGAUGUUAACAUUUCAUAAUGUAUUUUUAAAAAAUUAAUAUGUUCCGAUCAUUGUUUUAAUUCUUAUAAAAAGAUCAAAUGCUGUUAUUAAAGUGAAAUGGAGGAGGUAAAGAUUAAAUCAAAUUGAUUUAAUUCGAUAAUUUUAAUUGAUUUAAUCAAAAUAUGAACAGAUGGCAAAGCAGAAUUAGUUGGAGGUGUAAUUUGAAAUCUAAAGUUCAUUGAUAAUCUAAUAAUUACCAAUAUAGGAAAAUUUUAAUUAUGUUGUACACUUUUCUAAUCAACUCAAACAAACAUAUUUAAAAGAUGUCAUUUAUCAAUUAUGUAUACUUUUCUUUAUUUAAGGAAAUUAUUACGUUAUGCUGAUGUAUGGAUGGUGUCAAAUAUAAAUUUUUCUUUUCAUUUUUACUAUAAAAGUGAAUUGUUUUGUAAUUUAUAUAUUUGCAUAAUCCAAAACAUAUGUACUUAUUUGACAUGCGUAUGAAAAAAGAAGAGAAAUCACACAAAUAACAUGUAAAUAAUGACGUAAAAGUAAAGACAACUCCAAUUAUUGGGGAGAAAGAAAAUGUUGUCCACAAAUAUGUGUUUGGUCGAAUCACAAGGAAACCAAAGUCUCUGCUAAAUUUUUUUUUUUUAAAAAAAAGAAAUUGUAGAUUUAUUUCCACCUCCUAUGCAUAAUUGUUUGAGACUGAGUUCGAAUUAAAAAGAGAGAAAAAAAAUUUUAACUUUGAAUUUGAUUUUUGUCCCUAGAUAUGCAAAUAACUUUUGUUUUUUCAUUCUUUUUAAACAGGUGGACCUUAGGCAUUUGGAGGUUGUGGAAAAACCGAAAAGGAUUUUUUUUUGCUUAUAAGUGGUGGUUGUUUAUAUUUUUAGGUUGUGUUCAGCAAUGGCUUCUUUAAUAGCUUUGCUAAACGUAAUUUUUUAUAGUGUUCAGUAAUAUAGCUUUUGAACUAGUUUUUAGAUAUUAAUAUAGCGUUUUUAUAAAAAGUUAACUCAUAUCAUAUUUAAUUUUCAGCAUUUCAUAAAAAAUUACUCAAAUAGCUAAUAACUAAAUGUUAUUAAAACAAUUAACAGCUAUCAAAAAACGCUAAUUUUAUUGAAUAAAUCCUUAACAUUCUUUACUAUUUCCUUUUUUCUUUUUCUAGUAUGUAUGACCAAAGGAUUUUGGUUUAUUGUAUGCAGGAGGUUGGCCAAUGGCCUACUUAGUUUGUUGCAAUUUGGAAGAAGUGGUCCAACAUUGGGUUGGAUCCGACUAGUAAAAUUACUUGUAAAUCGACUCUUUAAAAGGACCUUACAAUAUUUAUACUUGUACUUUUGUUUUUUUGUUUUCUUUCAAAUAUUUAAAAAAAAAAAUGUAAUUAAAUCUUGAUGUAGUUGUUUGCCAUUUGUGUCCUUAAUUCCACAUGGUAGGCACGUAGCAAAAUGGAAAGGUGGCUAAUGACUAUAAACAGUGUAAUAGAACAGAAAUGAAAUAUGAGAAUCAUGGAUGAAAAUGGAUAAGACAUAAUUUAAGUUAUUAGAUCAGAAUCCACUUGACAUAGUUCUUACUUGAUGUUUAAAUGGAAAAAAGAAAAGAGAAGAGAAAUGGAAAUAUGAAGGAGAUGGGGAGAGAGAGCAAGCAUGUGAGUCUUGUCUUGCAUCCAGGUGCUAUGGUCCAUGCAUAAUUAAAUAAUGUGUCUGAGAAUCUGACAACUCAUUAUAACUCAUCCUCGUUUGCUCAAAUCUCCAGAAAGAAGGGACCCCCAAAUUGCUAAUUAUAAUGAAUCCACUAGAGAACUUUAAGAGUGGGUACUCGUGUGAUUAGGCAUAACUUAUCUAUCAUCUCACCUAUUAACAGCCACCGACCAGAAUAUGAUGAAAUCACGCUUUAAGCAUAGAAAUAGAAUUAUCGAGCACUUGCCCGAUAAUUUGAUUGCAAUAAAUAAUAUAUUUAAAAUUCAACUUUUGGAUUAAUUUUAAUAAAAAUUUUUCAAUUAUGAAUUUUUAAUUGAUUAUUGCUUAAUCUUCUAAUUAGAGCUUCCUUUAAAAAUCAUUAUAAAAUUUAAUUUUUCAUUAUUCAUUCUAUAUAUCACUUAAAUUUUUUUUAAACAAACAAAUAUUAUUAUUACCAUAAUUGACCAAAAUACUAUUUAAUGCAUGGUUGGUAAUGAUACAAAAUAUAAUUGGAUUUUAGAACACAUUAAUGUUAGUCGAAAACACCGAUGAAUCAAGAACUUCAAGUGGAUCGGAAGUCUCCAUACUCUAUAGACAUAAUUUCCUUUUUUAUUUUAAAUUAAUGUGCAUAUACAAUCUCCUAUUUUUUCAAUAUAUUCAAAAAAUGAAAGUUAAACUCCGAUUUAUAUAAAUUCUCAUGUGCAAGUUACAAUAAAUAUAAAAAGAAUUGCACUAGAUCAUCAAUACCCUCGUCCCAGAAUUCAUAUCCUUGUCGUUGUCGGAGUGUUUGAUAUACAGUAAAUUCUUCCACAAAAAAUGAGCCACAACUCCACAGUUAACCUAUAAAAUUAGAAAAAAAGUUCAUGUUCUCUUUAGUUCAAGAGAGCCAGAAAAAUACCACUUAACGCAGAGAGAGAAUUUACAUUAACAAAUCCAAAACAGCCAGACUGUAACAUGUGAUGUGUGAUUGUUCUUCCAAGAAGCAGUGAAUUUUCAUUAAUAAACAAGGGGGAAUCCCACCACUAGUUUACAAACAAAGUGCCGUUUUUUUUUUUUUUUUACAGAUCUUUUACCUCAAAAGCUUUUUCCUUUUUCUAAGGUGGAAAUCCCUUGAAAAGAAUUACAGCUGUAAGACUGACAAAAGAAAAUUAAUACAAAAAUUACAAGCAAUCAUGUACAUUUAAUGUUAGAAGCUCUAUGAUAUUGGUUCUACUUCUCAAUGCCUUGCUGCAGAUAUUGUAUCAAGUCAUAGCCGGCAGUUGUCCACUUGUUGUAGGCGUCUGUGCACACGCGGAUCAUAAAAUUGGCAGCUUCACGCUCGCUCAUCUCAGGAUGAAAUCUCUUGCGUAGAUUUCCGAUUGGAUCACCCCUACUGAAGCAUGGUAAUCCGCUGUCUAACAUCAACAUCACGGUGUUGAUUAUCCCAUCCAUGUAACGACGGGCUGCAAGGUAACCCUUGACGCACAAGCUGCGGAUCAUAAGAAGAGAAUCAAGAACUCAGCUUCGAAAAAUAUUGACCGAUAAAUGCAUACACAAUAAUAAAAAUGCAGAGCGUAUUUUACCUUACAAAUUGGUUCCAGGUUUCACUCUUCAUAACACCAGAAGGAUCUAAUAGUUGGGUCAUCUCAUGGCUCAGCUUGAAGUGUGCGCUUUCGAAUCUCAUAUUUCCACCAGGUGAUAUUUCAAAAAUGAAACCAAAAUCAAUAUGAACUAGCCUCCCAUCACUGCAUUGACAUUUAUGUUAAGAGUCAAAUUCUUAAUAUUUCUUUUCUUUACAUUUUUCUUUUUUCCUGAAAACCCCAUAGCUAUCAUGUUUUUAAAGAAAAAAUAGUUGGAAGAUUGUAAAAUCAAGGGAAACGAUCGGGCAAAAGAUCUCAUACCUAUCAAAAAGAAGAUUCCCAUUAUGUCUGUCCUUCGGCUGAAGCAAAAGACUGGCUACUGCAUAACCUGCACUGCUAACGAUAAAGUUUUCACGUGCAGUUUCAAAACUAGGAGAGCCUACAGGCCCAAAAUCCUGUUGAAAAAUCUCAAAUAAACCACCAUCUGUUGUUUCACCCAUUUGACUUCUGCUUCGCGAGUUAGGAACCACCUGUAUGAUUCAAGAAUAGAUACUAAGAAAGAUAGCAUGCAGAAUUUUGCAGGUGAUUCAUUUUGAACUAAAAGAUAUCAUUCUCAGAUACAUGGGGAGAUGAAAGGUCAAGAAUAUAUGGCAUUUUAUUUUUAUCCCCCAUUAUGUAAGAUAUAUUUGGAUCUUUUUGUUUCUUUGAACAUAAGCUUGUUAUAAAUUAGGCAAGAAGUUCAAUUAAUUUCAAGAAAAUUCAAAACAGAAAGCACCUCAUGGAUCAUGGGCAAGCCCAGAAUUCUCCAUAACUUCCCACACUGCGAAGAACUCAAGCGCAAAGGCUAAUGGUAGAUUGUAGUUCACAAGAACUGCUAUCUGUUAAUCUAACACAACACUAUCCAUGGCAGUGAUAACAUACAUGCAAAAUGCGCAUGCAUGCUUUAUCAGAAUCACCACAAACUUCUCUAUCAUUGGCAUUCUUAAUUUGCCAAACACUACUAAGUGUAUAACAUUUUCAAACAGGAAUAAAGUUACUGCGAGACUCUUCCAUAAUAAAAGAAAAAUAUCUAAAACAUUCUAAUACAAAUCACAAAAAAAAAAAAUGUUUGAGAGCACUCCAGUUAUUAAUUUCAGGCACUAGUCUAAUAUAAUCUAUAAUCAGGAACUUUAUGAUUAAUUGAUGUUUAGAGAUAUCAAACUUAUGAACCAAAAAGAACGAAAAGAAAUGAAACUUGAAUCAUAUACAAUCAUCCCGGAAUGGAACUUGCACUUUAAAGUUUAAAUAACCAUGUUACAUUUACAAACAUGGCUUGAAAAGAAAAUCACCUCAAUUCACACACAUAUGACAUAUCACACUAGUAAUCACCUCAAUUCCAUGUAUGCACCGUAUGGAUCCAUAUCCAAUAUAGCAAUGCCCUAGACACAAGCACACAUUUCAGUUUAAUGAUGAUGGAAAAUCAGAGCUCACCUCAAUAAUACCUCUCUCCGGGCCAGUUGGAAGAACUCCAUAAGGAAACAAAUAGAGAUUAAGUCCCACUGCUUGAAAUAUGUCUCUAAGUAAUGAUAUCACUUGAAGAGCAAGAACAUCUUGCCGACAAUCAUCACCGACCUUAAAAAAGGAAAAACACUUGUGAGAAUACAACUCAAUUUGGAAAAUAAAAAUUUCAAAUCCAGAAAAUUUAAUUUACAAAAUAUGACAUACAUCUCUUUAAAAAUCAGCAUUUUAUCUGUUUUAUUGAGAUUUUGUAGCACAGUUUUAGAAACUUCAAUGAAGUUACCAAAUCAGAAACCCAAAAUUAGUCGUGCGCAUUAUUUGGUUAUUAUCAAACAACUAAACCGAACCAACAAAUUGGCUUAUUUCAAUAAAGGAAAUACAGUUAUUGCAGUAACAGAAAAUUCAGUUUCCAAAUUAUCAGUUUAGACACCUAAAAAAUGAUAACCAAAAUAAUCAAUUAUCAUUAUUAACAUAUUUUUUUAGCAAUAUAUCAUUGUAAUUAUGUUCUUACAAAUAUAUAUAGUUGAUACUGAUCUGGAACGUUUCGAUUUUGUUAUCAGGUGUAUAUAGUUCAGUUCAGUUGGUAUCAAAUUCGUUUGACCCAAUUAAUGCUCAUUCGUGCUCAACCAUACCCAUCCUGUGCAUAAAUGUACCAUAAGAGAAUGUUUCAACAAGACCAUCUGUAAUUGAUACCUUUAAUGGAAACUAGAAUUACCAAUUAUAAGUAUUAAAUCCAAAAAUUUCAUUGCUAUAUAAUAAUAUUUCACUUGCAAAGAUAGGAUCCGACUAUAUUUGGACUUAAAUCUACCAACUAAAAUGAGGACAAUGGGAAUUUGGAAUAAGGAUUGGGAUUGUGUAUCAUUAUCAAAUAAUAGUCAAAUGAAGACCCCACUCGGGCCAAAAGAGAUCACUGAGAAAUAUCGUAUAUCCUGAUUGGACCAACCAUCUAGUUUAACUUAUGUAGAAUCAAUACUAUUUUGCAAUUUUCAAAUUCAAAAAAAAAAAAAAAAAAUUGUAUUUACACUAAUAAAUCAAAACUUGCACCUCAUUACAAGUCGAACUAUUUUCUGAAAAUGACAAGUAAAUUUCACCAUCAACAUAAUUGUAUGCACUCUAUUUCAACUUAAAUUGCCUGUAUAUCUCUUGAACCUGAAAGCACAGUCCCUGCUGCUUGUUAAAAGAAGGCGCACAACCUCCUUUUGCUUUUGGUCUGGAGUCUGGACUUAUAGCUUUUGUAAUAUAUUUAUCCCAACUUUGUGUAAAUCCUUACUAUUCAUUAAAUGGGUGUGAAGAAGAUGUCUAUCAAGGCAGAAAAGUAGAUAAUGCAUAUGUGAGCUGUGCAUGUUUUGUGCUUUAAGUGCAGUCGUGAGUUUUGAAGUUUGCUAUAUGCUUCCAGUGAGGGUGAGAAGCUAGAUAUGUGGCAAACUGCUACUGUUUUUCUCAGUUGUUUCCCCCUCCCCCUAAAGAACAUUAGGCUACGUAUUAAAUAAUGUUUAAUUUUUUGGUAUAUUUUACAUGUGAUAUUUGCUUAGUUUUUACUUGGGCAUAAUAAAUCCAGACUUAAUUCCUAUGUUGAAUCCCAAUAUUAGCAAACAUAAUAUCAAACUUAAUUGGAUGCGGAACAAAGUUGAACAAAGUUGGUUUUUGCAAAAAGGCAUAUACAUGUAUAUAUAUGUAUUAAUUUCAAAAUAUCAGUUAUUUGAAAGUCUAAUUUGUGGCUAAACUUAGUUUCUUAAGUUUAUACAUUUAAUUAUUGCACGGGCAUCUUAAAACCAGAGACUUUCUCACUAAUCCAAAGUUUACACAUUAAAAGGUUCACAACCGUACCUUGAAAAUGCAAGCUUGAGGUUUUAUUUCAUUUGGCGUCUCCCGGUCAACCACAUUAAAUGUAAUCAUUAUAGGAACUUUUGCUGCUGACUGUAACGGUAUUCCACUGUCCACCUGUAUACCCCUGACAAGCUUGUUAGGAGCAGUUGGUAAAUAAAGGUCCUCUCCCUGCACUUCAGUUUUUUCCAACUCCCUGUCGUCGCAAGUUCAUAGAAACAUCAACAGCAAGAUACAAAAUAUAAAGAAGAAGAUUUAAAAGCAUUAACUCAAGUAUACCUCCGAAUACCAGCUCGACGUUCUUCCUUAGGAAUUGGAUAGAGAACACCAGAAAUAGAUGUGACUUUGUCAAAGAAGUCAAAUUCCCUUUGAAAUAUGUCAAGGGCCUUUCCAGCGAAACCAUCAAUAAUAUGUUGUCGAACAAUUGGUAACAGCGCUUGAAAGGAACUAUUCUGAAAUAACAGUAAGUAUAUGUUUGGUUAUUGGGCAUUGAAUAGCAUUUGACAGAUAAUGAUCUACCAAUCUACAGAUAGAUACAUAAGAUACACAUAUGCACAGAGCCACAGACAUACAUUGCAACACAAUGUUUAAGUCAUGAUGUCUAGUCGCAAAUAGGUAAACAGUAACACAAUUCAGAUUGCAAAUUUUAACUGUAGAAUAUGGCAUGUGAUUGUAUUGUUUUUGAGUGUGUUACAUUUAUAUAUUUUUCAGCUCUAUCACCCUCCAAUCCAUGUGCACGUAACAUAGUGUUUCCAAUUCACAUAUAAUUGAUAACACAAGGAUGCUGCUAAGUCAUAACAUUUUACAAAGAGUUGAAAAAAAAAAAUCAAAAUAUAUUGAUAUAAGACUCUGCAUAAACUUAAUUGUUCUUUAAUGACAAAAUAUGAGAGGGAAGCACUGAGUCAGUAACAUGAUUCAAGGAAUUCAUUGUUCUGGCCAAAUUGAGAUGGCCAGAACUAUCGAACUAUCAAUUUCAUAAUCUUUUCAUUGUCAAGUUUUUGAUCGUGAAAAUCACUGUCGUUGUAGUAUAGUGGUGAGUAUUCCCGCUGUCACCCGGGUGAUCCGGUCCAAUCCCCGGCAACGGCGCAAAAAACUUGACAGUGAUUUUCGCAAGUGUACGAAAUUGCAACAAGUAAUAUAGAGUGAAAGAGUAUCGUAUCCACAGGGAUUGAAUAUCAAGUAAUAUAGGGAUUGUUAACCUAUUAUUAUUUAAACAACAAUAAGAGAGAUUUAUUAUAAGAAAAGAAAAAUCUAAAAUAAAACAGAAAGGAAUCAAGAAACAAUAUUUAGAUGUAAAGAAAUCAAGGGUUUAAAACUACUAGGGAUUUUGAUUUCACUUAAUUCUAUCCAAUUUAUUUUAUUAGUUUGUUAAUUAAAUUUGAUUGUUCAAAUAGGGGAAACAACCCUAAAAUCACUAAUAAGUUCUCCCGAUGUAUUGUUAGUUAUUCUAAUCCGGUCUAAUUGUCUAUCUUCCAAUAGCGCAAUCAAACAUGAAUUAAAUUAUUAAGUUUUAUAAUUUGUUUUGUGAAUUCAUAACCUGAGGUCAUUAACUUAUGAAAACCCCCAUAAGUCAAACCAUAUAGCUUCCGCAUCAAGUUAUUAUUCUCAUGUAGUUUAUUACCUUUUUCGUAUCUAAAACCCUUCUUCUGGUAGUGAUUAAUGAAAUAAAUCAAUCCAGAGGAGAAACUCUGUCUGGAAGCAUUAAGUUCAAUAAUAAAUUAUAUCAAGAACAAAGAACAGCAAAUCUAAUAUUAUAAAUUGGAAUCGAAUUAAGCUAUAUCAAAUCCCUAGGUGGCACGCCCUUGCUUCGAAGGCAGAACUGACAUGAACUAAAAAUGCAAAUCAAUCAUUUUCUCACAUGGGCCCACCUCGGAUAGUUUCUUAAACAUACUAAAUAAGAUCUAGACUUAUUUUGGAAGAGAAAAGAGUCCGAAUUAAGAAGAAAUCCAAGGCCUAAAUAGUCAUGAUCUCCUAAAGAAGAUUUUGUACUUAAUAAGGAUUCUAUUUCCUAAACGGAGUCAGAUUUACCUUCAGGAGGUCUAUAUAAAGAGGGAAACUUUUCAUUGAUUGGUAUCUCGAAAUUUAGUAUUUUUCUAUAUAGUUCUCUCUCUCUCAAAGGUCUCAAGGAAACCAUAUACAUAACUGUUACCUAGUUCUUAUCUCUAAACUCUUAAUAUUAUUUUUCUUUUCAUUGUUCAUCACUGAUUAUGAAGAAUUAUUCAAGUAUUAUUGAGUUUUAUUUACUUACUAUGUCUAGCUAAAUUCUUAUACUAGGGAUUUGAUGUAACUUAAUUUGAAUCUAAUUUAUAAUAUUAGAUUUGUUUUCAUUGUUCUUGUUAUAAUUUAUUAAUGAGCUUAAAGCUUCCAGGCAGAGUUUCUCCCCUGGAUUGAAUUAUUUCAUUAAUCACUAUCGGGAGAAGGGUUUUUGAUAUGAAAAAGGUAAUAAAUUACUUGAGAAUAAUAACUUUAUGCGGAAUCUAUAUGGUUUGGCUCAAGGGGGUUUUCAUAAGUUAAUGAUCUUAAGUUAUGAAUUCACAAAACAACCAUAAAACUUAAUGAUUUAAUUUAUGUUUGAUUGCGCUAUUGGAAGAUAGGUAAUUAUAGUAGAUUAGAACAGCCAACAAUCCUCAAUUUAAUUAGUUUGAAUCGAGUAUUCAAUUAAUUUAUCUCAUGUUGAUCCUCAAUUUAACUAGCUUAAAUCAUCUUUAUGGAAACCUUCACUUAAGAAGAGAUGCGCACUAUAGGCUCUUCGGCCCUAUAGUGUCCAUAGAGCUCCUUCCCUACGGAGACAUCAGCCCCUCUUCAUAGAGCACGAUGCCCGCACCUAGCUCACUAGGGCUCGGUCCCGCAUACCGGCCCCGGGGCAGAGGAGAGCAUUACGCCGGGUCUCUCCUCUCAUAUUCUCGGUCCAUAUGCCAUUCAAGAUGUUAUUCUCGUCUCUAAUAGCCUUAUUUCAUCCAUAGGGUCACCAUGGUAAGGCACCAUGGAUAGGGAUGCUGAGUAUAAAUAAUACUGUGAAUUGAAUUUUUUUGUUUUUAGAAAAUUGUAGAUUAAAUUAUUAGUACAAUUACUAGUAUAAUUGAAAUGCUUGUUUUAUAAUUAAAUCCCUGCAAACCACCUACAAUUUCACUUUUAAGAAAUUCUUGUGUAAAAUUUUUAAUUUAUUAAUGUAAAUUGUUUAUAAUAUUAUACUAAAAAUUAAUAAAAAGUUAUAUAUAAAAAUUAAAUUACAUUUACACGAGAAAACUAUUAAUAAAAAAAAUACAAUGAAUAUACACAUGCUGCCCAUGUGACUAGUUAUAAUAUUAAGACAGGCGGUAAUUUAUAAAAUAAAAUGAAAAUCCAACAGGUUAACAGGUCACCCAAAUUGAUAAUACAUUAAAUUUUUUUUAUUUAAAAAAAAAAGUAAAAAAAAAAGGGAAGAAAGAAAAAGCCAGGCCUUGUUGUCUAUUUAAGCAGGUCCAGUUUCUCAUGGAGCUGCAGACUCAUUAAAAACACUCUCUGUCUCUCUUUCUUGUUAUCAGUUAAGCUAAAGAGAGAUGAGCGCUUUAAACACAGCAGAGAAGGAUGUUGCGCUUGGUUGUGCUGUUUUGGCUUCCAUGACUUCUAUCUUACUUGGUUAUGGUGAGUUCUUUUUUUCUACUAAAAACCAUUUUUUAGUUUUAUCUCCAUUUAUAUAUUUCUUUGACUAUAAAGAAUUAAGAAACAAGAAAUGGAUUCCAAGCUUUGAAUUGUAAUGAUUUGGUUAUAUAUAUAUAUAUGUGUGUAUGAUUUUGUAGAUAUUGGAGUGAUGAGUGGAGCGGCUAUCUACAUCAAAGAUGAUCUGAAAAUCUCUGAUUUACAAGUAGAAGUUCUGGUGGGAACACUUAACAUAUACUCAUUAGUUGGUUCAGCAGCAGCUGGCCGGACCUCCGACUGGAUAGGGCGGCGGUAUACUAUAGUGGUGGCUGGAGCUAUUUUCUUUGUGGGAGCUCUUCUAAUGGGAUUUGCCACAACUUAUGCGUUUCUGAUGGUAGGGCGGUUUGUUGCCGGGAUUGGUGUCGGCUAUGCUCUUAUG
RNAcentral lists this long non-coding RNA (12878 nucleotides) under Jatropha curcas. RNAcentral describes it as "long non-coding RNA (JCUR_LNC000129)". Lineage: Eukaryota; Viridiplantae; Streptophyta; Magnoliopsida; Malpighiales; Euphorbiaceae. The record is from RNAcentral.